ACGCUACAGAAAAACAUACAGUUAAGAACAGACUUUGAAAGACGUUACAGUAAAUGUUAGAUGGUCAGUGAUUAUUUGUUGGGGAAGAACCUGCUGCUUUAGAGAGAAAGAUGGAAUGGCAGGGGAGAGAGAGUGGGAGAGCAUCAAUAAAAUAUAGUGGUAAAGACAGUGGUGAAAAAAGGAGAGACGAAAUUUUUGAGAAAAAGAAAUAAUCACAUUUUGCUACACUUUUUGCUUUCUCACUUCAUCUUCCCUCUCUGCUCUAGUAUUCCCUACUUAGCCUACUGAAUUAGUUUGUACUCCUCCAAAAAAGAAAACGAAAAAAGCUUGGAUCUUCCAAUGAGAAUCCAGGCUUUCAGUAAUACUAUUUCAGGUAAAAACUUAUAAAUUAAUAUGGAUAGUAAUAUAUUUCUUGGUUCUCAGCUGUAAUUGUCCUCCUUCCUCCUCCCCCCCCCGCAACAAAAAGUAUUUCACUAAUAUCUAUUAGAUCAGUCUGCACAGAUUUUGUU
Leopardus geoffroyi (Geoffroy's cat) is the source of this 509-nucleotide long non-coding RNA. RefSeq lists it as uncharacterized. The transcript is spliced from 2 exons. The record is from RefSeq and is a predicted model, not a curated record. NCBI's taxonomy places the organism in Eukaryota, Metazoa, Chordata, Mammalia, Carnivora, Felidae.